GUUUAAUCCUAAGAAUAAUGGAAAGCCCAAAAUCCCCAUUGGGAAAUUUUGACAACGGGAGUGGCAUGAACUAGUGUGUGCUUUGAGUAUCAUGCUCUGGCUGCUGUGUGGAGACCUGAAUGUAUGAAACAGAAGUGGAAGCAGGCUGCCCUGUCAGGAGACCCUGCGGUGUCCGUCGCUGUCGCCUGUCCUCCACACAUGGAAUUCAGCCACUGUAGACUGGCUCGUGGCCCUCCCUGAUAUGUUAUGUGUAUGAGAAGCAGGGCGAUAUCUCCGGCCCACUUCUUUGACAGGUUCUCUUGUUGCUGAUGCUGAGAAACUCCAGGAGCCUGCUAUUUGUAGAGAGAAGUGUGUUCCAGCUGCUGGUGCUAACAAAGAUCUGAGACCAAGAAAGGAUGGGAAGAAGGAGAAGAAAAAUUUUGAUUUAUCUCAGAAACUAUACUCCGAAGUGAGAGUCCUGGUUGCAGCAUCCUUCACCGAAGCACGAAGCAGAAUCAAGCUGUUGCCAUGAAGCUUGUUUCAAGAGCUCAGAAAUACUCCAGGGACUCCUUUACUACUGCUUUUCAAAGAGGCCUUUUUUUCUCUCUUCUCCUUUUCCUGCAAAGAGGGUUAUAUCCAGUGCUCAAGGACAUGGGAUUAUCAGCCUAAGGCAUGAGUACAUGCUGUGGAAACAGAAAUAUGUAUGAAGGGAUGUAUGAAACCACAGAAUAAAUGGAAUCCACAUUCUUGAAGUAGCUACAACUCUACUUGAGGGAAAAUAAUGCUUGGCUUCAGGUAUUUGGAAAUACUGCACAUUCGGGCUAAGAAUGAGAUGACCAUUUUCUCAUUUUCAACUAAUUAUUUCAAGAUACCAAAACAAAACAAACAAAUGCCAUUGGUGAGUACCUGCUAUAUACAAAAUGAGCUGUAUGUAGUGAAGUGGCCAGGAAAGGCAGAGUUCACAGCCAUAGGUAGGGCAGGCCCUGGCCACCCUUUAGGGGAGCAAGAAAGGUAAACCAGGUGGAUGAAACAUAUCCUAUAGCAUAUUGUAAUUGGUAAGUGGAUGCAAGUGGUUUCUUAGCAAGUCAGAGGCAUCGGGCUGUCUAAAAGAGGUAAGAAGAUUAUACUGACAGAGAGGUGGAGCAAACAAUGAGGUGUCUGGGAGGAAGCAUUUGAAGAGCUGCAAGGAGGUCUGAUUUAUGGUAGAAAAACUGAGUCCCCAGGAACUGGGGAAGUGACUGGCAAGAAGAGGACAGGGCUUCUAGUCUAGAGGAAUCAAGGCAUAGGACAUAUUGCUUACCUAGAGAUUCAGUCAGGGGUAUGGGAUCCAGCCUGGGUAUAGUUUUUGGAAGGCUGCUUACUUGAUUGGGUUGGAGUGGGACUAACAGCAAGUGUGAUUUGAUGCUGACCCUUCAGUACUGGCCUGCGUAGCUUACAACAGUUACCCUGUCUAAGAAGGAGAUUGAUUCCAGAACCCAGAAUAAAGCAGAGAAUGCAGAUGGUGGUCACAUGGGUUCAGGUAAGGAGUAAGGAAAGUCACUGGCCCUUCUCCAAGUGCUGUGCAGGUGCAAAAGUUAUUUAAUUUUCUGUUUCUCUCUUGAAUGAAUAUGCUACCUAUUUGGUGGUAUAACACGUAAACUCAUUCAUAUUAAAUGUCAAUACAUGCUUUAAUGUUUUAAUCAAUAAAUGUACUAAAUAAUUUAAAUUUACAAGGGAUUUUGGAAACAGAUCCAACUUUAAGCAUGGCAGGAAAUUGAUAUUUGGACAAGGAAUGUUAGCACAUUCUUAGAUCAUACUCAGAUUUAAGGUAAGACUACUCUAUUUUUCAAACCAAUCUAGGUAUAUAAAACCAAAUCUAGUUAGAAUGAGAAUACUAAAUUAAACAUAAGUUUGUUAUUCAGAUAUUCCAUGUAGAACUGUGGGAUGAAGUGCAAUCAGCUGUGACUGGUUGGAAUAAGGACCUGCCUUAUCCCAUGGAGAGUUAGAGAAUCUGUUCCAACAAGGACAGAAGGUCCAGGUGGGAAGAGCUCUGGAAAACAAAACUCUCUGACAGCGCUCUUGAAAGCUCUGCUGGCAUCCCAAGGCACGUAGAUAGUACCUAUACAUCUCAUCAGGAACAUGGAUGGUUCUCUGCUAUCAGCUGAAGUGCUGUGACCACAAAACUGAAAAUUCCCAUUCUGUGUCCUUGCCAAUAAAGAAUGUCCAUCAGAGCACGCCCAGUAUCCUAGCUCCUUAUCCAGACUGUGCUUCUCAAUGUGACAAGGAAGACUGCAACCCUAUUUGCUUCUGAUAACCUUCCUAUGACUAAGUCUUCUCUGGUUGAGAUUCCUGGGGAGGACACUCAUGACAAUUGUGGUUUUUGGAGGAUCUAUCUUUAGGCAGCUAAAAGGAAGUUCAGAGAAAGCCCCUUCCUAUACUUCGCAGGAGAAAAAAGAGGUGUGCUACAACAACAUGACCCCAGCAAGCAAGAUUAUUUCUGUGCACUGAUAGGAAAAGGAAGCAAGCCAUGAGUGCCUGUUGAAGCUGGAAAAGCAAGAUUGAUGUUGAGGCUUGAUUGAAGGAGUGCAAGGUCACUCACAGAAGAAGUCAUGGUGCAAGAGUACAUCUCAAUCCUGCCCUAGCCUGGAAACAGCAUGCUCUGCUGCAUUUGCAUGCCCAAGGCACUGCUUGUCCUAAGCCCCAUCCUAGAAACUCUCUAUAGCUUUAUUUCCCUUAAGAAGGUAGAAAAACAUCAACAACCUAUCCGUACUAGCUGAAUGGCCUCUAGGCCUAUUGGGCAAGUACACCCAGAUGAGCAUCACUCUUAAGUGGCUGCUUCAGGUCAAGGUCUUUUGUGUUGGGGCAGCUGCAAACUGGCCUCUUUGGCUAUCCCAAGACCCUCUAAGUCCAAGGAGCUUUCAACCUCUAGUGAUGUUCAAUCUCUGUAAAGCUGUGUAAUGGGGGAUAAACAUUAAAGUUGUUUCACAUUUAAAAAAAA
RNAcentral lists this long non-coding RNA (2956 nucleotides) under Homo sapiens (human). Its description in RNAcentral is "HSALNT0093320". The record is from RNAcentral. Lineage: Eukaryota; Metazoa; Chordata; Mammalia; Primates; Hominidae.